This 267-nucleotide unclassified non-coding RNA is filed under the name plant metagenome. RNAcentral's name for it is "partial contains small subunit ribosomal RNA, internal transcribed spacer 1, and 5.8S ribosomal RNA". The record is from RNAcentral.
UUUCCGUUGGUGAACCUGCGGAAGGAUCAUUAUCGUACCAAAUGUGAGGGGCAUGCGCGGGCUGUCGCUGACCCAAAAGUCGUGCACGCCCGACUGUGUCCUCUUGCAUAAGAGUCCAUCUCACCCUUUGUGCACCACCGCGUCGGCACCCUUCGGGAUCAUCUCGGAGGGGGGCUCGCGUAUUCACUCAAACCCCCCUUUUAAAAGUGUAGAAUGGCCACAUUUAUGCAAUCAAUACAACUUUCAACAACGGAUCUCUUGGCUCUG